UCUCGAUUGGUCUAGUGGUAAGGAUACCUGCUUGUCAUUGGCGUCCUGUCUAGUCUCACGAUAGUGGGCACUAGGUCAUGAGCUAUCAUCAAGCCGCAGGUGGCCGGGGUUCGAUUCCCCGAUCGAGAG
Nemania abortiva is the source of this 129-nucleotide non-coding RNA. NCBI's taxonomy places the organism in Eukaryota, Fungi, Ascomycota, Sordariomycetes, Xylariales, Xylariaceae. The record is from the annotation of a GenBank genome assembly.